GACGAACGCUGGCGGCGUGCUUAACACAUGCAAGUCGAACGGUGAAGCGCCUUCCUUUUUGGUGGGUGUGGAUGAGUGGCGAACGGGUGAGUAACACGUGAGUAACCUGCCCCCUUCUUCUGGAUAACCGCAUGAAAGUGUGGCUAAUACGGGAUAUUCUGGGUCUGUCGCAUGAUGGGUCUGGGAAAGAUAUUGUUUCGGUGGGGGAUGGGCUCGCGGCCUAUCAGCUUGUUGGUGGGGUGAUGGCCUACCAAGGCGGUGACGGGUAGCCGGCCUGAGAGGGUGGACGGUCGCACUGGGACUGAGACACGGCCCAGACUCCUACGGGAGGCAGCAGUGGGGAAUAUUGCACAAUGGGCGCAAGCCUGAUGCAGCGUCGCCGCGUGGGGGAUGGAGGCCUUCGGGUUGCGAACCUCUUUCGCCAGUGAAGCAGGCCUGCCUCGUUUGUGGGUGGGUUGACGGUAGCUGGAUAAGAAGCGCCGGCUAACUACGUG
RNAcentral lists this ribosomal RNA (494 nucleotides) under uncultured bacterium. Its description in RNAcentral is "partial 16S ribosomal RNA". It matches the Rfam family "Bacterial small subunit ribosomal RNA", at positions 28 to 507 of the family's 1533-position model. The record is from RNAcentral.